CACGUAGGGUGCGAGCGUUGUCCGGAAUUACUGGGCGUAAAGUGUGCGCAGGCGGCCGCGCAAGUCGAGUGUGAAAUCCCCGAGCUUAACUUGGGAAUUGCGCUCGAAACUACGUGGCUGGAGUGUGGCAGAGGAAGGUGGAAUUCCACGUGUAGCGGUGAAAUGCGUAGAGAUGUGGAGGAACACCGAUGGCGAAGGCAGCCUUCUGGGCCAACACUGACGCUCAUGCACGAAAGCGUGGGGAGCAAACAGG
RNAcentral lists this ribosomal RNA (253 nucleotides) under uncultured bacterium. RNAcentral describes it as "partial 16S ribosomal RNA". It matches the Rfam family "Bacterial small subunit ribosomal RNA", at positions 524 to 776 of the family's 1533-position model. The record is from RNAcentral.